RNAcentral lists this ribosomal RNA (2890 nucleotides) under Vibrio parahaemolyticus. RNAcentral's name for it is "23S ribosomal RNA". It matches the Rfam family "Bacterial large subunit ribosomal RNA". Lineage: Bacteria; Pseudomonadati; Pseudomonadota; Gammaproteobacteria; Vibrionales; Vibrionaceae. The record is from RNAcentral.
GGUUAAGUGACUAAGCGUACACGGUGGAUGCCUUGGCAGUCAGAGGCGAUGAAAGACGUAGUAACUUGCGAUAAGCCCAGAUUAGGUAGUAACAACCAUUUGAGUCUGGGAUUUCUGAAUGGGGAAACCCACGUGCAUAAGCACGUAUCCUUACCUGAAUACAUAGGGUAAGGAGGCGAACCGGGGGAACUGAAACAUCUAAGUACCCCGAGGAAAAGAAAUCAACCGAGAUUCCGAAAGUAGCGGCGAGCGAAAUUGGACUAGCCCUUAAGCUUUACACGCGUUAGACGAACGGUCUGGAAAGUCCGACGAUACAGGGUGAUAGUCCCGUAGUUGACGACGUGUGUUCAGUGAAAUCGAGUAGGGCGGGACACGUGAUAUCCUGUCUGAAUAUGGGGGGACCAUCCUCCAAGGCUAAAUACUACUGACUGACCGAUAGUGAACCAGUACCGUGAGGGAAAGGCGAAAAGAACCCCUGUGAGGGGAGUGAAAUAGAACCUGAAACCGUGUACGUACAAGCAGUAGGAGCAGGCUUGUCCUGUGACUGCGUACCUUUUGUAUAAUGGGUCAGCGACUUAUAUUCAGUGGCAAGGUUAACCAUCUAGGGGAGCCGUAGGGAAACCGAGUCUUAACUGGGCGUUCAGUCUCUGGAUAUAGACCCGAAACCAGGUGAUCUAGCCAUGGGCAGGUUGAAGGUUGAGUAACAUCAACUGGAGGACCGAACCGACUAAUGUUGAAAAAUUAGCGGAUGACUUGUGGCUAGGGGUGAAAGGCCAAUCAAACCUGGAGAUAGCUGGUUCUCCCCGAAAGCUAUUUAGGUAGCGCCUCGGACGAAUACUACUGGGGGUAGAGCACUGUUAAGGCUAGGGGGUCAUCCCGACUUACCAACCCUUUGCAAACUCCGAAUACCAGUAAGUACUAUCCGGGAGACACACGGCGGGUGCUAACGUCCGUCGUGGAGAGGGAAACAACCCAGACCGCCAGCUAAGGUCCCAAAUUACUACUAAGUGGGAAACGAUGUGGGAAGGCUCAGACAGCCAGGAUGUUGGCUUAGAAGCAGCCAUCAUUUAAAGAAAGCGUAAUAGCUCACUGGUCGAGUCGGCCUGCGCGGAAGAUGUAACGGGGCUAAGUAGUAAACCGAAGCUGCGGCAAUAUACUUUUGUAUAUUGGGUAGGGGAGCGUUCUGUAAGCGGUUGAAGGUGUGUGGUAACGCAUGCUGGACGUAUCAGAAGUGCGAAUGCUGACAUGAGUAACGAUAAAGGGGGUGAAAAACCUCCUCGCCGGAAGACCAAGGGUUCCUGUCCAACGUUAAUCGGGGCAGGGUAAGUCGACCCCUAAGGCGAGGCCGAAAGGCGUAGUCGAUGGGAAACGGGUUAAUAUUCCCGUACUUCUUACAAUUGCGAUGGGGGGACGGAGAAGGCUAGGUGGGCCUGGCGACGGUUGUCCAGGUUCAAGUGCGUAGGCUUGAGAGUUAGGUAAAUCCGGCUCUCUUUAAGGCUGAGACACGACGUCGAGCACCUACGGGUGUGAAGUCAUUGAUGCCAUGCUUCCAGGAAAAGCCUCUAAGCUUCAGAUUGUAAGGAAUCGUACCCCAAACCGACACAGGUGGUCGGGUAGAGAAUACCAAGGCGCUUGAGAGAACUCGGGUGAAGGAACUAGGCAAAAUGGUACCGUAACUUCGGGAGAAGGUACGCUCUCGACGGUGAAGUCCCUCGCGGAUGGAGCUAUUGAGAGUCGCAGAUACCAGGUGGCUGCAACUGUUUAUUAAAAACACAGCACUGUGCAAAAUCGUAAGAUGACGUAUACGGUGUGACGCCUGCCCGGUGCCGGAAGGUUAAUUGAUGGGGUUAGACUUCGGUCGAAGCUCUUGAUCGAAGCCCCGGUAAACGGCGGCCGUAACUAUAACGGUCCUAAGGUAGCGAAAUUCCUUGUCGGGUAAGUUCCGACCUGCACGAAUGGCGUAAUGAUGGCCACGCUGUCUCCACCCGAGACUCAGUGAAAUUGAAAUCGCUGUGAAGAUGCAGUGUACCCGCGGCUAGACGGAAAGACCCCGUGAACCUUUACUACAGCUUGGCACUGAACAUUGACCCUACAUGUGUAGGAUAGGUGGGAGGCUUUGAAGCACGUACGCCAGUAUGUGUGGAGCCGUCCUUGAAAUACCACCCUUGUAGUGUUGAUGUUCUAACGUCGACCCCUAAUCGGGGUUGCGGACAGUGCCUGGUGGGUAGUUUGACUGGGGCGGUCUCCUCCCAAAGAGUAACGGAGGAGCACGAAGGUGGGCUAAUCACGGUUGGACAUCGUGAGGUUAGUGCAAUGGCAUAAGCCCGCUUGACUGCGAGAAUGACAAUUCGAGCAGGUGCGAAAGCAGGUCAUAGUGAUCCGGUGGUUCUGAAUGGAAGGGCCAUCGCUCAACGGAUAAAAGGUACUCCGGGGAUAACAGGCUGAUACCGCCCAAGAGUUCAUAUCGACGGCGGUGUUUGGCACCUCGAUGUCGGCUCAUCACAUCCUGGGGCUGAAGUCGGUCCCAAGGGUAUGGCUGUUCGCCAUUUAAAGUGGUACGCGAGCUGGGUUUAGAACGUCGUGAGACAGUUCGGUCCCUAUCUGCCGUGGGCGUUGGAAGAUUGAAGGGGGCUGCUCCUAGUACGAGAGGACCGGAGUGGACGAACCUCUGGUGUUCGGGUUGUGUCGCCAGACGCAUUGCCCGGUAGCUAAGUUCGGAAUCGAUAACCGCUGAAAGCAUCUAAGCGGGAAGCGAGCCCUGAGAUGAGUCUUCCCUGAUACUUUAAGUAUCCUAAAGGGUUGUCGGAGACUACGACGUUGAUAGGUCAGGUGUGUAAGUGCUGUGAGGCAUUGAGCUAACUGAUACUAAUUGCCCGUGAGGCUUAACCAU